UUUCCGGGCUUGCUCGGAAAUUAGUGGCGAGCGGCUGAGUAACGCGUAGGUGACCUACCCCGUAGUGAGGAAUAACUGCCCGAAAGGGUAGCUAAUACCUCAUGUUGAGACGCUUUCAUUAGCGUCUCCAAAGCAGCAAUGCGCUAUGGGCGGGGCCUGCGUUCGAUUAGCUAGUUGGUGAGGUAAUGGCUCACCAAGGCGACGAUCGAUAGGUGGUCUGAGAGGACGAUCACCCAGACUGGGACUGAGACACGGCCCAGACUCC
RNAcentral lists this ribosomal RNA (265 nucleotides) under unidentified marine bacterioplankton. RNAcentral describes it as "partial 16S ribosomal RNA". It matches the Rfam family "Bacterial small subunit ribosomal RNA", at positions 71 to 339 of the family's 1533-position model. The record is from RNAcentral. RNAcentral also lists the same sequence under 1 other name.